AUGGAGACGUAUCAUUGCAUGCUUCGAGUAAAAAAGAAUGCACCCUUUGUUUGGGGUCCAUCUCAAUCUACCGCAUUUGAUGAGCUCAAAUCUUUGCUUACACAUGCCCCAAUUCUUGCAUUACCUGAUUUCAACAAAACUUUUGAGGUUCAUUGUGAUGCUAGCGGUAAUGGAAUUGGUGGAGUUUGGAUGCAAGAAAAGCGACCCAUUGCAUACUUUAGUGAAAAUUUUCUGGUGCUAAACGAAACUAUCCCAUCUAUGACAAAGAAUUGUAUGCUUUGGUGCGAGUAUUGCAUGUUUGGGAGCAUUACCUUCACCCACAUGAAUUUGUCAUAA
This 336-nucleotide ribosomal RNA is filed under the name Triticum aestivum (bread wheat). RNAcentral's name for it is "partial small subunit ribosomal RNA". The record is from RNAcentral. Lineage: Eukaryota; Viridiplantae; Streptophyta; Magnoliopsida; Poales; Poaceae.